This 348-nucleotide small RNA is filed under the name Pongo abelii (Sumatran orangutan). RNAcentral's name for it is "processed transcript". The record is from RNAcentral. Lineage: Eukaryota; Metazoa; Chordata; Mammalia; Primates; Hominidae.
UCUAAACUAAACGAAUACUGCCUAAAAAGAAAGACAAAACUCUCCAAUUGUGUCUGACAGGGCGUGCACAAAACCCACUUUGCAGGGGUUGGACCGGCUCAGCUACUGGACCUACCUCUCGGGGUCAAGCUGCCUGUGAUCCCAGGAAGCAAUGCUGUAUUCUAUACUACGAAUUUCGGUGAAAAGCUUUUUCGACCUUCUUAUGGUUUUAACCUGACUGAUCCCUAUUGUCGACUUUUGGAAAACCAAUAUAAAAGCCUCCAUGAUCCACAUUUAAAAGCAUACUAUAAGCGCAAAGAUAUUUUGAAGAGAUUAAAGAAAGGUGGCUACAUCACCAGCAAUAAUAAA